This is a long non-coding RNA of Ailuropoda melanoleuca (giant panda), 1412 nucleotides long. RefSeq lists it as uncharacterized. The transcript has 4 exons. The record is from RefSeq and is a predicted model, not a curated record. Lineage: Eukaryota; Metazoa; Chordata; Mammalia; Carnivora; Ursidae.
UGGCUUCUGCAAGGGGCUCCUUUCCACUCCGUGCUGUUGGUGGUACAGCCAUGGCUCAUCUCACUGCCGUUGAACAGCUAGAGUUUACUGAGCUCAGUAAACUCUAGCACUGGCUACGUGCCAGGAGCAAAUGCUUUACGUUCACAGCUGAAUCCUCAAGGCCACCCAAUCAGAUGAGUACUGUUCUUAUUCCUCUUUGACGAAGGAAGAAACCGAGGCACGGAGAAGUGAAAUCGGGUGCUGUUAAGAGCUUAGGAAAUGCUUAUUGGGGGAAUGAGUGACGGAAACCCCCCAAAUGAUCCCCAGCAGGAUCAUGGGUAAAUAAAACCCAGAAUUCUAAGUUUACUGAGACGUAUAAACAGUUGUCAUGGAGAAACUUUCAAGCAAGGCAUGGACUCAGGUUUGCAAGAGUUCUAGUGCUCGUGGGGAUUUUGGGGGGGUCUGGCUUGUGGGGAAGGCGAAGACCUGGCUGCUAGCUGGCCAAACUCCAUGGAAGUGACCCUAGGACACCCCGCCUUCUCUUCCAGUGGUCUCCCGUGUGGUGGCGGAGUGGAGUGGCUGGAGCUGCUGUGUCAAGUCCUGUCAGAUCUCCUAUCGCAUCCGUCGGAGACGUGUCCUGCGGGAGCCAAGGAAUGGGGGUGCUCCCUGCCCCUCUCUGGAAGAGCGGGCUGACUGUGUGGAUUAUCGGAGCCGCCAGGGAGUGGAGUGCCAACAGUCUUUAAUCCCUGCUCUGAUAACCACAGGCAGCUACGGGAAGGAGCGGAAAAAGCGACAUGUCCCGAAGAAGCAGGAGACAGUAGGGUACUGUGUUCAGUUCCAGCUGGGGCCCGUUCCAGGGAGCUGCCGGCAGGUGAGGGCACCCCACGCUCAGUGGACAAGUUAUCUGACCCAGGGCCACACGGUUUGUGUGAGCUGUGAGUGGCCUGCCCAGGACGCCAGGAGCCGGCGCUGCUACGGGGAUGGCGGCGGGGCCAAAGGGAAUCAGCUGUUGCAGUGGCAAGCGGCCGGCCACCCCCCAUGCCGAGGGACCUGGGAGAGGCUCAGGCAGCUCCGGGACUGUUCCUGCCCUGAGGUCCACAGCCUCGUCUUCGUCUAGCGCCCGUGACCCCCUACCUGUCCAGAUCCCCUCUUUCCGAAGCCUCCCUGGCUGUUAGGGAAACCCCCAGGGCUUGGGAUCCCAUAGGAUGAGGGAGUGGGGAGAAGUAUGCAAAUGUGAGACUGGAGGAAAAAGCCUUGUCCUUAUGUUGACAGUGAAAAUAGCUUUAUGCUUCCCCUCAGUGCCAGCUGAGUCAUAGCCUUAUUGACAUCUCCCGCUUAGUCCAAGGCUUCCCAAAGUUCAUCUCCUAAACAUGCUCGCGUGGCUUUUACCCUAUUCUCCUUACCUGCAGACUCCUCCACCCCCUUCUUUUUUA